GACGAACGCUGGCGGCGUGCCUAAUACAUGCAAGUUGAGCGAUGAAGAUUGGUGCUUGCACCAAUUUGAAGAGCAGCGAACGGGUGAGUAACGCGUGGGGAAUCUGCCUUUGAGCGGGGGACAACAUUUGGAAACGAAUGCUAAUACCGCAUAACAACUUUAAACAUAAGUUUUAAGUUUGAAAGAUGCAAUUGCAUCACUCAAAGAUGAUCCCGCGUUGUAUUAGCUAGUUGGUGAGGUAAAGGCUCACCAAGGCGAUGAUACAUAGCCGACCUGAGAGGGUGAUCGGCCACAUUGGGACUGAGACACGGCCCAAACUCCUACGGGAGGCAGCAGUAGGGAAUCUUCGGCAAUGGACGAAAGUCUGACCGAGCAACGCCGCGUGAGGGAAGAAGGUUUUCGGAUCGUAAAACUCUGUUGGUAGAGAAGAACGUUGGUGAGAGUGGAAAGCUCAUCAAGUGACGGUAACUACCCAGAAAGGGACGGCUAACUACGUG
RNAcentral lists this ribosomal RNA (497 nucleotides) under uncultured bacterium. Its description in RNAcentral is "partial 16S ribosomal RNA". It matches the Rfam family "Bacterial small subunit ribosomal RNA", at positions 28 to 507 of the family's 1533-position model. The record is from RNAcentral.